CACGGGGGUUGCGAGCGUUGUCCGGAAUUACUAGGCGUAAAGGGCAGGCAGGCGGAUCCAUAAGUUUAUCGUUUAAGGCGUCGGCUUAACCGGCGUAGGGCGGUAGAUACUGUGGAUCUGGAAUGCGGUUGGGGAAGACAGAAUUCCUAGUGUAGCGGUGGAAUGCGCAGAGAUCAGGAGGAAUACCGAAGGCGAAGGCAGUCUUCCAAGCCGUUAUUGACGCUCAACUGCGAAGGUGUGGGUAUCAAACAGGAUUAGAUACUCGCGUAGUCCCU
This 275-nucleotide ribosomal RNA is filed under the name uncultured prokaryote. RNAcentral's name for it is "partial 16S ribosomal RNA". It matches the Rfam family "Bacterial small subunit ribosomal RNA", at positions 524 to 798 of the family's 1533-position model. The record is from RNAcentral.